This 402-nucleotide ribosomal RNA is filed under the name uncultured Pediococcus sp. RNAcentral describes it as "bacterial SSU rRNA". It matches the Rfam family "Bacterial small subunit ribosomal RNA", at positions 119 to 508 of the family's 1533-position model. The record is from RNAcentral. Lineage: Bacteria; Bacillati; Bacillota; Bacilli; Lactobacillales; Lactobacillaceae.
GGGUAACCUGCCCAGAAGCAGGGGAUAACACCUGGAAACAGAUGCUAAUACCGUAUAACAGAGAAAACCGCCUGGUUUUCUUUUAAAAGAUGGCUCUGCUAUCACUUCUGGAUGGACCCGCGGCGCAUUAGCUAGUUGGUGAGGUAACGGCUCACCAAGGCGAUGAUGCGUAGCCGACCUGAGAGGGUAAUCGGCCACAUUGGGACUGAGACACGGCCCAGACUCCUACGGGAGGCAGCAGUAGGGAAUCUUCCACAGUGGACGCAAGUCUGAUGGAGCAACGCCGCGUGAGUGAAGAAGGGUUUCGGCUCGUAAAGCUCUGUUGUUAAAGAAGAACGUGGGUGAGAGUAACUGUUCACCCAGUGACGGUAUUUAACCAGAAAGCCACGGCUAACUACGUGC